AGAACGAACGCUGGCGGCAUGCCUAAUACAUGCAAGUCGAACGAACUCUUCGGAGUUAGUGGCGCACGGGUGCGUAACGCGUGGGAAUCUGCCCCUUGGUUCGGAAUAACAGUUGGAAACGACUGCUAAUACCGGAUGAUGGCGAAAGUCCAAAGAUUUAUCGCCAAGGGAUGAGCCCGCGUAGGAUUAGCUAGUUGGUGAGGUAAAGGCUCACCAAGGCAACGAUCCUUAGCUGGUCUGAGAGGAUGAUCAGCCACACUGGGACUGAGACACGGCCCAGACUCCGUACGGGAGGCAGCAGUAGGGAAUAGUUGGACAAGUGGGACGAAAGCCUGACU
This 338-nucleotide ribosomal RNA is filed under the name uncultured soil bacterium. Its description in RNAcentral is "bacterial SSU rRNA". It matches the Rfam family "Bacterial small subunit ribosomal RNA", at positions 26 to 388 of the family's 1533-position model. The record is from RNAcentral.